GACGAACGCUGGCGGCGUGCUUAACACAUGCAAGUCGAACGGAAAGGCCCUGCUUUUGUGGGGUGCUCGAGUGGCGAACGGGUGAGUAACACGUGAGUAACCUGCCCUUGACUUUGGGAUAACUUCAGGAAACUGCGGCUAAUACCGGAUAGGAGCUCCUGCUGCGUGGUGGGGGUUGGAAAGUUUCGGCGGUUGGGGAUGGACUCGCGGCUUAUCAGCUUGUUGGUGGGGUAGUGGCUUACCAAGGCUUUGACGGGUAGCCGGCCUGAGAGGGUGACCGGCCACAUGGGGACUGAGAUACGGCCCAGACUCCUACGGGAGGCAGCAGUGGGGAAUAUUGCGCAACGGGCGGAAGCCUGAUGCAGCAACGCCGCGUGCGGGAUGACGGCUUUCGGGUUGUAAACCGCUUUCGCCUGUGACGAAGCGUGAGUGACGGUAAUGGGUAAAGAAGCACCGGCUAACUACGUG
This 468-nucleotide ribosomal RNA is filed under the name uncultured bacterium. Its description in RNAcentral is "partial 16S ribosomal RNA". It matches the Rfam family "Bacterial small subunit ribosomal RNA", at positions 28 to 507 of the family's 1533-position model. The record is from RNAcentral.